Molecule: long non-coding RNA, 320 nt
Filed under: Oryza brachyantha (malo sina)
Lineage: Eukaryota; Viridiplantae; Streptophyta; Magnoliopsida; Poales; Poaceae
Description: long non-coding RNA (OBRA_LNC003278)
Source: RNAcentral
CUGUAGAAAUAGAAGGCAUCGGGAAAACCAAUAAUCAUACAACUGAACUUGAUUCUGAAGAUCUUUGGUUAAGUCGAUCUUCAGUCAUCCAGCUCAAACGAUGGUUUGGGCCUCUUACAUAAGACACGAUACUAGGCGGCUAAGAAAAAGCAAGAAGAGUGGUUCAAUGAGUUAGAGCACUAUGUAAUAUUCGUAUUAACAUUACUGGCAUAUCAUGUAGCCCAAAACUAGGCCACCUUAAUGGUUCUUUUGGCUAUGAUCCAUGUCAAUACUGCAGAUUCUGAACAUGCUAAAUUUCGUAUCAGCAAGUUUCCUCGAAU